This 468-nucleotide ribosomal RNA is filed under the name uncultured bacterium. RNAcentral's name for it is "partial 16S ribosomal RNA". It matches the Rfam family "Bacterial small subunit ribosomal RNA", at positions 28 to 507 of the family's 1533-position model. The record is from RNAcentral.
GACGAACGCUGGCGGCGUGCUUAACACAUGCAAGUCGAACGGAAAGGCCCUGCUUUUGUGGGGUGCUCGAGUGGCGAACGGGUGAGUAACACGUGAGUAACCUGCCCUUGACUUUGGGAUAACUUCAGGAAACUGGGGCUAAUACCGGAUAGGAGCUCCUGCUGCAUGGUGGGGGUUGGAAAGUUUCGGCGGUUGGGGAUGGACUCGCGGCUUAUCAGCUUGUUGGUGGGGUAGUGGCUUACCAAGGCUUUGACGGGUAGCCGGCCUGAGAGGGUGACCGGCCACAUUGGGACUGAGAUACGGCCCAGACUCCUACGGGAGGCAGCAGUGGGGAAUAUUGCACAAUGGGCGGGAGCCUGAUGCAGCAACGCCGCGUGCGGGAUGACGGCCUUCGGGUUGUAAACCGCUUUCGCCUGUGACGAAGCGUGAGUGACGGGAAUGGGUAAAGAAGCACCGGCUAACUACGUG